This 253-nucleotide ribosomal RNA is filed under the name uncultured bacterium. RNAcentral describes it as "partial 16S ribosomal RNA". It matches the Rfam family "Bacterial small subunit ribosomal RNA", at positions 524 to 776 of the family's 1533-position model. The record is from RNAcentral.
UACGGAGGGAGCAAGCGUUACUCGGAAUUAUUGGGCGUAAAGGGCGCGUAGGCGAUCUGGCAAGUCUGGUGUGAAAGCCCACAUGUUAACUGUGGAAGUGCAUUAGAAACUGUUGGAUUUGAGUUCAGGAGAGGAAAGCAGAAUUCCCGGUGUAGCGGUGAAAUGCGUAGAGAUCGGGAGGAAUACCAGUGGCGAAGGCGGCUUUCUGGACUGACACUGACGCUGAGGCGCGAAAGCCAGGGGAGCAAACGGG